AGCGAAAGGUGCUUGCACCUUUCAAGCGAGUGGCGAACGGGUGAGUAACACGUGGAUAACCUGCCUCAAGGCUGGGGAUAACAUUUGGAAACAGAUGCUAAUACCGAAUAAAACUUAGUAUCGCAUGAUACAAAGUUGAAAGGCGCUACGGCGUCACCUAGAGAUGGGUCCGCGGUGCAUUAGUUAGUUGGUGGGGUAAAGGCCUACCAAGACAAUGAUGCAUAGCCGAGUUGAGAGACUGAUCGGCCACAUUGGGACUGAGACACGGCCCAAACUCCUACGGGAGGCUGCAGUAGGGAAUCUUCCACAAUGGGCGAAAGCCUGAUGGAGCAACGCCGCGUGUGUGAUGAAGGCUUUAGGGUCGUAAAGCACUGUUGUAUGGGAAGAAAUGCUAGAAUAGGGAAUGAUUCUAGUUCGACGGUACCAUACCAGAAAGGGACGGCUAAAUACGUGCCAGCAGCCGCGGUAAUACGUAUGUCCCGAGCGUUAUCCGGAUUUAUUGGGCGUAAAGCGAGCGCAGACGGUUGAUUAAGUCUGAUGUGAAAGCCCGGAGCUCAACUCCGGAAUGGCAUUGGAAACUGGUUAACUUGAGUGUUGUAGAGGUAAGUGGAACUCCAUGUGUAGCGGUGGAAUGCGUAGAUAUAUGGAAGAACACCAGUGGCGAAGGCGGCUUACUG
Molecule: ribosomal RNA, 677 nt
Filed under: Leuconostoc lactis
Lineage: Bacteria; Bacillati; Bacillota; Bacilli; Lactobacillales; Lactobacillaceae
Description: bacterial SSU rRNA
Rfam family: Bacterial small subunit ribosomal RNA
Source: RNAcentral